This 310-nucleotide ribosomal RNA is filed under the name uncultured fungus. RNAcentral describes it as "SSU rRNA". It matches the Rfam family "Eukaryotic small subunit ribosomal RNA", at positions 39 to 352 of the family's 1831-position model. The record is from RNAcentral. Lineage: Eukaryota; Fungi.
AAAGAUUAAGCCAUGCAUGUCUAAGUAUAAGCACUUUAUACUGUGAAACUGCGAAUGGCUCAUUAAAUCAGUUAUCGUUUAUUUGAUAGUACCUUACUACAUGGAUACCUGUGGUAAUUCUAGAGCUAAUACAUGCUAAAAACCUCGACUUCGGAAGGGGUGUAUUUAUUAGAUAAAAAACCAACGCCCUUCGGGGCUCCUUGGUGAAUCAUAAUAACUAAGCGAAUCGCAUGGCCUUGCGCCGGCGAUGGUUCAUUCAAAUUUCUGCCCUAUCAACUUUCGAUGGUAGGAUAGUGGCCUACCAUGGUGG